RNAcentral lists this ribosomal RNA (229 nucleotides) under uncultured bacterium. Its description in RNAcentral is "partial 16S ribosomal RNA". It matches the Rfam family "Bacterial small subunit ribosomal RNA", at positions 118 to 348 of the family's 1533-position model. The record is from RNAcentral.
UGAGCAAUCUGCCCUUCACAUCGGAAUAACCAUUGGAAACGAUGGCUAAUACCGAAUACGACUUCGGACCGCAUGGUCUGAAGUGGAAAGCUCCGGCGGUGAAGGAUGAGCUCGCGGCCUAUCAGCUUGUUGGUGAGGUAAUAGCUCACCAAGGCGAUGACGGGUAGCCGGCUGAGAGGGUGACCGGCCACACUGGGACUGAGACACGGCCCAGACCUCUACGGGGAGG